Bombyx mori (domestic silkworm) is the source of this 5010-nucleotide long non-coding RNA. RefSeq lists it as uncharacterized. NCBI's taxonomy places the organism in Eukaryota, Metazoa, Arthropoda, Insecta, Lepidoptera, Bombycidae. The record is from RefSeq and is a predicted model, not a curated record. The transcript is spliced from 3 exons.
GGGGGUGCAACUCCCAUACAAAGGAAAAGAACAUUCAACUAGCGUCAUCUUUAGGAACCGGCGAGGUCAUUUUUGAAACGUUUUGGCCUUAAUGAACUAAUAAAUUCACUAGAUGGCAGAUACGAGUUCUGACUCAAUAAAAAAGGUUAGCGUACUUUGAAGCAGUGCUUCCACUUUUAGGGAAUUCUCCCUUUUUUAGGGAAAAAUAGCUGAUAUUUUGGAUGAUAAAGACAAUUUAAAAAAUACCAGGAUUUAGGAUAUUUCGGGGUAAAAAGCAAAGCCUAUACUAGUAACUGUUGUGAAUUUUAAAAUAAACGAUAAUUAAAGUAAAACAAUGAACAUUUUAUUUUAUGGAGAGAGAAUGACAUUAAGUCGAGUUGACAAGUAAAAGAAUAAAACAGAGUUGUGUAUAAAAACUAUAAAGAAGGUUUGAUUCAACAGUAACCCUCUAGUAAAGUAAAUCAUAGAUUAAGCCACUGCUUUUUUCUUAGGGAUUCCCCAGAAUCCCAAUAAGUAUAAUCCGCCAAACUUUUAUUUACCUAUUUUCGUUGAUGUCACCAGAACUUACUUGUAUUGUAAUAUACAAGUACUUCAUGUACCAUGAAAGAUUAUCAUAGUAAUUUCAUUUACGAAAACCUUGUAAUUGUCAUUUCACUUUUGCUAGCAGUUCCUUUAUCAAAGACUGAGGUGGAAAGAUUAUUCAGUGUUCUCAAAUGUAAAAAGAAAAGAAACAGGCUUUCUAAUGAAACCCUGAACGGCUUGCUUCAUAGAAAGUUUCCAACUUUGCCAGCAAGCAAUCGCUCAAUUUUAGAACCUAACAGUGUUAGGUUGCGUGCAGCAAAAGAAUAUAAAAGCAAUGCGUCGACUUCCUUGAAAAUUCUAAUCCUAUAGAUCUAUGAUCUUCUGGGGGCGUUUAUAUUAUAUAUACCUACAUUAAAUAAUAUGCUGUGGUUUAUUUUCUGUAUUUUAUUUAUGCUUUCUAUAUAAAGGAUUUAUUAAAGUUGUCUAGGAAAUUUUAGGGAAAAUUCAAAAGAAACUAGGGUAAAAUGUGUUAAAAAAAACGUAAGUGGAAACACUGCUUUGAAGUUUUCAAAAUUCCAGGGCCGUAAAACAAUCUCAAAAAAAAAAAAAGUUUUCAAAAUGUCGUAACGAUUUAAUUUUUUAAAUAGUUUUUUUUGGUCUUGGUGUGAGUUAUUUUACGUUGUAGUAUUAAUUUAGAGCAUCUUUUAGCUUUAUGAAAAUAUUACACGAUUAGACAUUGAGAAACUCCGUUUUGAAUUCUCUUUAGACAUAACUUGGCUCCAAUACUUUUUUCUUCGUUAGCGUUUCGUAAGCCUGUGUAACUAUUUUCAUUUCUUACAGAAAGUUUAUUAUUAAAAAUCAGCAUGCCUCGAAGAACGAAAAUGAAAUGCUAUUUCGGAUGCCUUGAUAACGGUGAGUUUACACUAUUUUCCCGGUAUAUUAUUUGCUAACAGAAUUAUUAUUCAUAAUAUAAUUAAAUGAAUUAGCACCAACUAAUGGUCCUUCCUAUUUCUGCUGCCUAGCUAUCACAUAUGUUAAGUUUGAUCAAAACAGUCGGUAUUAAGUCUCGUACUAUCACACACACACCUCAGAUAAUAAAAUUGUCUCGAGUGGGUGGAAGUAUUUAUGUUUUGCAACUCAGCGUAUUAUAUGCUUAUUGUCAAGUGGGCCCGAACUAGUUUUUUGGAAUGAUCAAUCAGUCAUGCUUUCCUGUUUAAAUAAAAUACAGCACAAUUGAUCUCACAUCCAAAGUUAGAUGAUGGCAUUCACGUUUUGUUUCCUGGUGUUUGAUAACCAAGUUACACCAAGUGGCCUGUGACCACGUUCAUCCUUCUACCCAAUAUAAAAUAAUGUUUUUAUUUUUGUAGACAAAGGUUUGAUAAUGACAAAAUUUUAUGGAAAAAUUAUAAGGAGCACUAAAAUGUCUGAAACAUGAAAAUAUUGAUGCACUAUAUUUGAACCAGAACGUGUUAUGUAAUAUUAAUUUAAGAGAAACUGAUUCAGCAAGGAAUGUGAACUCUCAAGGGAUCUUAAUUUUUUUUAAAUAUGUUUAUAAUUUAUAAAUUAAUAAUUGAAAUAGUUCAUAAGAACUAAAUUGAUGCCAAUUUUGUUUUAAAAUAGGUUGUUUAGUUCUUAUAGUUAUAGUAUUACGUUUGAAUAGUUGUAAUUAGUAAGUUAGUAAUGUAUGAAAAUACUGAUAUAAAUUUUUGUAAAUAACCUUUUGUAAAUUCUACGAGAUGAUUUUAAUUAAUGAUCAAAAGUCAACGGUCUUCAAAAGCAUUAUUUGAGUCGACUAUUAUCAAAGGCGGCAAUCUGACAUUUGGACAAUGAUUGGUAAAUCAGAAAAACGAAUUAUUAACUUUGUAUUCCAUUGGCAGUCACAAAACUCUUCGGAACGACAUCUUAGAUAAAUAACAGGUUAACUAUUAACCUUUAUUUAAUGCAGGUUUUGAACCGUAUUCUUUGAAGGAGACGAUUAUAUUCAAAUAAAUCUGUAUUGACAUAUCAAUAAAAAUGUUUUGUCCAAAUGCACAGAUUGCCACCUUUGAUAAUAGACGACUCAUUUGCAAUUAUUUAGAUUAACUGUGGAAUAUAUUUGCUAUGUUGUGUUUUCUGUAUGAGCAGAUAUAAAUGAAAAUGCCCAAACAUGAUUAUGUUUCUUACAUUUUCAUUAAGUGAUAUCAAUAUGCUUGUGACUGAGUAUAUUAAUAAUUUAUUAAAACUUCAGUGAUAGACAGGAACCCUUAUGGCACUGCUGAAGUUUAUAUGCACUGGUGACCACUUAUCAUGAGCCGGGUUGCGUGCUCGUCUGCUGUUGAGUGCAAUAAAAAUUUUCGAAACCCUUUCUAUUAUUUAGAUGUAAUAUUAAUGUACAUUUAAUUUGGAUUAAAAGAUAAAUUUACAUUUUAUGUUUGCAUGUGUAUGUUUAUAAUUCAUUUGCAUGUAACGAACAUCAGUUUCUUUUGUAACAAAAUGCAAACUAAUGGUUUGUAAUGAAUGUAAUUAACUUUAAUAUGAUUUUCUUUCAAUCUGCUGUUUGUUUCAUCUAGUAUUACCAAAGCUAAAGCAUCAGAAACGUCAGAAUAGAAAUAAUUUAGAUAGGGAAUAAAAGUAUAACUAAUGUAAUCUUGUCUAAAAUUACUAUAAGCGUCAUUAAGUACAAACUAUCAAUAUUUAAGAGUACUUUAAAUCAUCAUUACAUUUUUUAAACAUUUUUUGUUUUUUUUUUUGUUUUUCAAAUUAUGUAACAAAACGUUUGUGCAGAACAAAAUGUCACAUGUUAUGAACAUGAUUGUGGGUUAAUCGUUUCUUAAAAUUUUAAAUAUUUAUAAGAAUGCUAAGAUUAAUUUAGUAUUCAUUUUAGUGUGUGUAUUAUCUCUACAAUGCUAGUUUAAAUGACAAUUAUUGUAUGACGAAGCAUAGGUAGUGUUUAUAGAUGUAAUAUUUUCAUACAAGGUCAUGAUCUGUCACGAUCAACUUUAAGCAAGAACUGCUAUCGUUAAGAAACAAAUUUAUUAAAUUUAAUUCAAAUUGACUACUAUGUUUGUAAUGGAAAGCUGACAUGUUUAUAUUUCGCACAAAUGACUUAAUUGACAUUGAAUGAUUUGAUUAUCUAGACUUAAUUAACUUUUAGAUAACUUUCGAUUUAAUGUGUACGCUAGUAGGAUUAAUCUAGAGGAGUUAUUGUUAUUCGAAAUUUUAUACAAUUGUACGUUCAUACAAUCUGUUAACAUAAAAUUGUUUGUAAUAUAGGGAAAUUAAAUAGCUUACAGAGAAUUACAGCUUUUUAUUUUAAAAAACUGUUUUCUCUCUGUAUGAAAAGGUCUUAUCGAUUAGAAUGCUGAACACAAUCAAACGUUCUUUAAUAUUUCAUAAGUACUACCGGGAAUUUCAGCGAUUCUAAACGAUAAGAUUUUUUCAUAAAGAGAGUUAAUUAUAAAAAAUAUUAAAAUUACUAAAAAAGCCACCUGGUGGGGGGUAGGGAGACUAAUAAUCGACCGUAGCGACGCCUGCUGGACCGGGCUUUAACUAAAGCAAAAAUAAAAAUGAGAGUUGCGCAUCUAUCUCGAAUAUAUUAAGUGUAUAAUCUAUGGCUAAACUCAUGAUUUAUGAUUUCAUUUCAUUACGUAUGAUUUCAAAAAGCAUAUUAUUUCAAAAGCAUAUUCAAAUAGUAUAUUAAAACAAAAUUUUAUACAUUGAACGGAGGUCCACGUGUAUCCAGUUCACUAGUGUUUAUGUCGAAGAGCCACACAGCCCAUCUCAUGUCGAAGAGCCACCAUUGCUCAUGGAUAUCCAAGAUGGCAGAAGCUGAGUCAAGUUGAUAUUUACCAUUGAGAAAUAUUUUCAACGCGCUCGGCUAUGAUGGGCGAUGAUGGUAUCAAAACAUUCGUUUAAAAUGCUGGUACGUGUUUUUGGGAAGUGAUAUUCAGUAAGAAAACUUUUCAUAAACAUUGGUUAACGUAAAUUGAAAGGAAGAUUAAUUAUAAUAAUGAAUUUGUUUUUUAAAUUAAAUUUUAUAUACAUAAUAUGUUUUUAAGAUCAUAAUUUAUGUUGUUACAAUUGUAUUAAAAAUCAUUUCAUUUCGAACUGUAUAUUGCAAAAUGUUGAUAAGAAAAUGGUUUACCGAAAAUUUGACCUUCACAACUGAACUCUAAAUGCAAAUGGUCGUGUGUUUUCCACGUUUUAUCCGAGGGCCAAUACAAAUUCCGGAGGCAUAGGAAGCAGUUGCCUAAAUUUAUUUCGAAAAAAAAAGAACAGCAAAUAAAAAAAACAUUCCGCUCGAUGUAAUCUAUUUGUUGUGGCUGGUUCCGAUUCGUAAGGAUUUUAAGUGAUAAAAAAUAAACGAAUUUGGAAUCUCCUAUAUAAAGGCAAAAACGAAAAACAAUCAUUUGUAGUAUUAAUAAGGGUGCAAUUUCGUAUAAACCCGUCAUACCUUUUGAUAAAGAUCAUUCAUUCUACAUUUAAAAUUAUAUUGAAAGAUUGAAAUAA